Nilaparvata lugens (brown planthopper) is the source of this 275-nucleotide long non-coding RNA. RefSeq lists it as uncharacterized. The record is from RefSeq and is a predicted model, not a curated record. The transcript has 3 exons. NCBI's taxonomy places the organism in Eukaryota, Metazoa, Arthropoda, Insecta, Hemiptera, Delphacidae.
AGUAGGAGGACUAACACUAGGCGGAAAAUUUCGGUCUGCCCCUGGUACUGGAAAUAGUGCUGGUGACAGCAUUACAGUUCUAUAGUCAACUACGCAAAGAUCGGCCUUCAAUGACGAACUAGUGGGCGAAUCAAAUGAUUUGACCGAAGUAGGAGGACUAACACUAGGCGGAAAAUUUCGGUCUGCCCCUGGUACUGGAAAUAGUGCUGGUUACAGCAUUACAGUUCUAUAGUCAACUACGCAAAGAUCGGCCUUCAAUGACGAACUAGUGGGCG